CCUGAACUGUGAAAACUGGUAUAACAGAACCUAUCUCACAGGGUUUUGGUGAAGAUUAAAGGGAAAAUACCUAGAGAAGUAAUUAGCAUCAGGUUUGGCUACAUAAAAGGCAAAAGUAAAGUGUGGAGCUCUUUGCUCAAGAUUACUGAGUGGGUAACAGAGCAAUAAACUAAGCACAGAGCCCUGCUAGGCAUGGGGCCCUCUGUGACUGCACGGGUUGUAUGUCUUGUAAGCCAGUCAUAGCUAACAGUGCCUGAUGCAUGGUCUUCUUCAUUUCCCAUUCCUGAAUAACAGAAAAACAGGAAAAAAAAAUCGGUUUGUUGAAUAUUCAGAAGUAACUUGCAGGAUGAAAACAAGAUAAGGAAAAUGAGAAGGUCAAGUCACUGCUCAAGGCCAUAAAGCUGAUGAGUGAAAACUUUCUUAUGGACCAAACCAGCAAGUAGACUCACCUUUGGGAGUCACCAUUCCGAUCCACCUUGCUGUGUCAGCACCGCGGAGAGCGGCUUACCUCACACCCAACCCUGUAAUGCUUGAGUGUUAAAGAUUUUCAUCCUCUAUGUGGGAACUGAGAACUGCAGAAUGGGAAGAAUCCUGAGGCCAUUUGGAGAUGCCUUUCCCUGUGCUCCUAUAGAAUGCUGCGUGCAUCUAUGCUAAGUCCUGCAUUAACUCUGCAGAGAGGCCCCCGGCCACACAGUGGUCAUGUAUGGAUAUGAGAGUUGGACUGUGAAGAAAGC
Bubalus bubalis (water buffalo) is the source of this 734-nucleotide long non-coding RNA. RefSeq lists it as uncharacterized. NCBI's taxonomy places the organism in Eukaryota, Metazoa, Chordata, Mammalia, Artiodactyla, Bovidae. The record is from RefSeq and is a predicted model, not a curated record. The transcript has 6 exons.